GCCCCCGUAGCUCAGCCCGGAUAGAGCAGCGGGUUUCUAACCCGUUGGUCGUAGGUUCAAAUCCUGCCGGGGGUACCA
This 78-nucleotide transfer RNA is filed under the name Candidatus Peregrinibacteria bacterium CG10_big_fil_rev_8_21_14_0_10_49_16. RNAcentral describes it as "tRNA-Arg". It matches the Rfam family "tRNA". Rfam says of the family: Transfer RNA (tRNA) molecules are approximately 80 nucleotides in length. Lineage: Bacteria; Candidatus Peregrinibacteriota. RNAcentral also lists the same sequence under 1 other name. The record is from RNAcentral.